RNAcentral lists this unclassified non-coding RNA (327 nucleotides) under soil metagenome. Its description in RNAcentral is "partial contains 5.8S ribosomal RNA, internal transcribed spacer 2, and large subunit ribosomal RNA". The stretch from base 1 to 120 matches the Rfam family "5.8S ribosomal RNA", at positions 35 to 154 of the family's 154-position model. The record is from RNAcentral.
GAUGAAGAACGUAGCGAAAUGCGAUAAGUAAUGUGAAUUGCAGAAUUCAGUGAAUCAUCGAAUCUUUGAACGCACAUUGCGCCCCUUGGUAUUCCGAGGGGCAUGCCUGUUCGAGCGUCAUUAUAACCCCUCAAGCUCAGCUUGGUGUUGGGGCCUGCUGCACUGGCAGCCCUUAAAAUCAGUGGCGGCGCCAUCUGGCUCUAAGCGUAGUAAUUCUUCUCGCUAUGGAGUCCUGGUGGAUGCUUGCCAUCAACCCCCAAUUUUUCUAUGGUUGACCUCGGAUCAGGUAGGGAUACCCGCUGAACUUAAGCAUAUCAAUAAGCGAGA